UACGUAGGGUGCGAAGCGUUGUCCGGAAUUAUUGGGCGUAAAGAGCUUGUAGGCGGUUUGUCGCGUCUGCUGUGAAAUCUCAAGGCUCAACCUUGAGCUUGCAGUGGGUACGGGGCAGACUAGAGUGUGGUAGGGGAGACUGGAAGUUCCUGGUGAUAGCGGUGAAAUGACGCAGAUAGUCAGGAGGAACACCGAUGGCGAAGGCAGGUCUCU
RNAcentral lists this ribosomal RNA (213 nucleotides) under uncultured bacterium. Its description in RNAcentral is "partial 16S ribosomal RNA". It matches the Rfam family "Bacterial small subunit ribosomal RNA", at positions 524 to 730 of the family's 1533-position model. The record is from RNAcentral.